CCCCGCCCUCGCAUUCCCUCGUCGGGCCCCAUUCAUCCACAGUUUGAACCCUGACGCGAGCCCACCGAGCCUCCCGGGCGCGGGGUGCUGUCUGCGUGUCCACGCCUCUGCGCCUCCGCCCGGCCCACCUCCCGCGCAGCCUUGCGGACGGCCACCGCCUAAAGUCCCUUCUAGCCGUGGUCUCUCCCCUCCCCUGCGGGAUGCCAAGAUCUGGGGACAAAGAUCAUUAAUAUCUUUAAGGGACAGCUGUUGCCUCCUUGUUUGCCUCAUUUUGUACCCUGAGAACUUGACAUGGCUUUCUGCCUGCUUGGGGCAUGCAGGUUGUUUAUACAGGCAGCUCAACCAUCAGAUUGGGAGCCUCCCAAAUAUGGCCGGAUGGAAAUAUGGAUUGCACCACAUCUGGAACUGGAUAUGGCUGGACUGAAAUAACCAAGACUGCAUUUGAACUUCCUUGGAAGGAACCAUAGCAGAUUCUCCUCACUACCCAGAUGGCAGCCAAACUUCAGAGUCUUCAACCUUGAGUCCAGAACUCCCAAUAAAAAGGGCUCCUGCAGACUCUUGGAACUACACACCAGCUGGAGAUCCAAAAUUAAAAUUGACUAUGGAGGCUCCUCCCCAGAAGCAGAUGGCAUCUUGAGGUGGACAGCUCUCCCAAGAUCGCAGAUCAAGAUCUCCAUCUCCAAUAUAAAACCUUGAUUCUUUUUGCCUUUCUACUACCUGCUUUUUCUCUCUGUUACUGCACAGGAAGACAAUGCUCCUUAACUCUGGCAACUAUCCCUGAAUAUACCAGUAAGGCCAUGUUGGCAUAACAAAACUCCCUAGACUUUCUUGCUAGGGUGGUUUUAAAUAAUAGUGUUGCUUUAGAUUACUUAUUGGCUGAACAAAUAAGAGUUUACGUCAUAGCAAAGUAUCUAUUAUACCUGGAUCAACACUGUUAGC
RNAcentral lists this long non-coding RNA (939 nucleotides) under Equus asinus (donkey). RNAcentral describes it as "lncRNA (ENSEASG00005034043.1)". Lineage: Eukaryota; Metazoa; Chordata; Mammalia; Perissodactyla; Equidae. The record is from RNAcentral.